This 301-nucleotide ribosomal RNA is filed under the name uncultured bacterium. RNAcentral's name for it is "partial 16S ribosomal RNA". It matches the Rfam family "Bacterial small subunit ribosomal RNA", at positions 509 to 807 of the family's 1533-position model. The record is from RNAcentral.
CAGUCGCCACGGGAAUACGUAGGUCCCGAGCGUUGUCCGGAUUUAUUGAGCGUAAAGCGAGCGCAGGCGGUUAGAUAAGACAGAUGUGAAAUCCCCGGGCUUAACCUGGGAACUGCAUUUGUGACUGGCGGGCUAGAGUAUGGCAGAGGGGGGUAGAAUUCCACGUGUAGCAGUGAAAUGCGUAGAGAUGUGGAGGAACACCGAUGGCGAAGGCAGCCCCCUGGGCCAAUACUGACGCUCAUGCACGAAAGCGUGGGGAGCAAACAGGAUUAGAUACCCCUGUAGUCCCUGUCUCUUAUAC